RNA transcript from Mus musculus (house mouse), 5441 nucleotides. It is a transcript of the gene named solute carrier family 16 (monocarboxylic acid transporters), member 10, with no coding region annotated. The record is from RefSeq and is marked validated. NCBI's taxonomy places the organism in Eukaryota, Metazoa, Chordata, Mammalia, Rodentia, Muridae. The transcript has 7 exons.
GCCGGCGUAAUCAGGCGCGAGGGGCAGCCGGUGUGUCAAGUCCUCUGGCCGCCUUAGGCGGUGUCUGCGGUGUGCGCCUCUCGCCCGCCCGCCCGCCCGCCUGCCCGCGGCUCCAGUGUCCUCGCCUCGGCCUCCCUCCUCCGUCCGCGCGGCUGUCCCAGGCUCCGCGAGCCACCCCGGGACCUUGCGCCCGCAAGCUUUCUCGGUGCCCGACGGGGCCGCCUCGGGACAUGGUGCCGUCCCAGGAGGAGCCCGCCGCCGAGCGGGAGACGAACGAGGCGCAGCCGCCCGGGCCCGCGCCCUCGGAUGACGCUCCGCUGCCCGGCCCGGGACCCUCGGAUGUCUCCGACGUGGCCGCAGAGAAAGUGGAGGUGGAGCUGACGAGGUCAGCGGGCAGUGAGCCCCCCGUUCCCCCCGAGGGCGGCUGGGGCUGGUUGGUGAUGCUGGCGGCCAUGUGGUGCAACGGGUCGGUGUUUGGCAUCCAGAACGCCUACGGGGUGCUCUUCGUGUCCAUGCUGGACACCUUCAAGGCCAAGGACGAUGACAACAUGGCCUUCAAGACAGCGUGGGUGGGCUCGCUGUCCAUGGGCAUGAUCUUCUUCUGCUGCCCCAUCGUGAGUGUCUUCACGGACAUGUUCGGCUGCCGGAGAACAGCUGUUGUGGGGGCAGCUGUGGGAUUCAUUGGACUCAUGUCCAGUUCUUUUGUAAGCUCCAUCGAGCCUCUGUACCUCACCUAUGGAAUCAUAUUUGCCUGCGGCUGCUCCUUUGCCUACCAGCCGUCACUGGUCAUUUUGGGACACUACUUCAAGAAGCGCCUUGGACUAGUCAACGGCAUCGUCACGGCCGGCAGCAGCGUCUUCACAAUCCUGCUCCCUUUGCUGUUAGGAAAUCUAAUCAGCAGUGUGAAGCUCUUUAACACGCUGCGGAUCCUCUGCAUCUUCAUGUUUGUUCUCUUUCUGGCUGGCUUUACCUACCGACCUCUUGUUCCCAGCACCAAAGAGAAAGAGAGUGGGGGCAGCAGAAGCUCAUUCUUCUCCAGGAGAAAGCUUAGUCCUCCAAAAAAAGUCUUUAACUUUGCCCUCUUCAAGGAGACAACCUAUGCAGUGUGGGCUGCUGGGAUACCACUUGCACUUUUUGGCUACUUUGUGCCUUACGUUCACUUGAUCUCAACAUCUGCUGCAAUUUGACUUUUCAGAUGAACCAUGUAAAGGAAAGGUUUCAAGAUGUAAACAACAAAGAGGUGCUCUUCAUGUGCAUUGGCAUCACUUCAGGAGUUGGACGGCUUCUCUUUGGCCGCAUUGCUGACUAUUUGCCCGGUGUGAAGAAGGUCUACCUCCAGGUUCUCUCCUUCUUCUUCAUUGGCCUGAUGUCCAUGAUGAUUCCCCUGUGCAGCGCCUUCGGAGCCCUCAUUGCUGUCUGCCUUGCCAUGGGUCUCUUCGAUGGAUGCUUCAUUUCUAUCAUGGCGCCCAUUGCCUUUGAACUAGUUGGUCCUCAGGAUGCUUCCCAAGCAAUUGGAUUUCUACUUGGAUUCAUGUCGAUACCCAUGACUGUAGGCCCUCCUAUUGCAGGGUUACUUCAUGACAAGCUGGGCACCUACGACGUGGCCUUUUACCUUGCUGGAAUCCCUCCCUUCGUUGGGGGUGUUGUGCUCUGUUUAAUCCCGUGGAUCCAUAGCAAGAAGCAAAGAAAGAUCAGUAAGAACGCCGGAGGGGAGAAGAUGGAGAAAAUGCUGGAGAACCAGAGCUCUCUACUGUCAGGCUCAUCAGGAAUCUUCAAAAAAGACUCCGCCUCGAUUAUUUAAUGCCGUACAUACCUCACCUCACGGGAUUUGCUUUUGAAUUUUAAGCCAGUUUUCCUUUUUAUAUGAAUUGCAGAUUUCUUAUUUUUUUAAUCAUCCUUGGAAUAGCACAAAUGGGACAUGAGCCCUUUAUUAUGACAAGAGCCAUCUCUCUCCCAAGCAGCUUUGGUAUUCCCACGAGUAAGGGGGAGACUGUCACAGGCAAGCACGUCUGGAAAUCCAGCGUGAGCGUUCAGAGCUCCGAGGAAGGAGCAGCCUUGGCAGCCUCAGAUGCUGUCAGCUGCUGCGUGCUUUGAACGUGCUUGGAGCUGCGCUGGGUGGGCAGCUCCGGGCUCCUCCGCACCGGAAACAUUUUGUCAGUCCCUCUUGGUAUCUUUUGUUCCACUGUGUUACUUUCUCCUUCAUUUUUGGAAUUUAAGCCUAGAUCCUAGAUAAUAAGAGGCCAACCUAAACCUUGAGUCUGUUAAAUGACUUAAGCUAUGAAAUUAGGAGGUUCUUACAUGCUGUAGUCAAGGGACCUCCUGGGAGCAGAUGCUACUGCUACCACAGUGGACAUGGGGGAGAGAAAGGCCCUCUUGUAGGCGGCAAUCAGGUGUUUCUUCCACCAACCUUUGUUCCCUUUGGUUUGUAGUGUGUUUUACUCCAGUAGCCAGAAACACCCCAAAUUUCUGAUUUUAUAUAAACAAUAAAGUGAAGUAGAAUGUAUAAAAGAUAUCCUGGCAAUUUUAUCAGAGUUUUUCUGACUUCUGGGUUUAUUAGCACUAUGUUUGAGUGUUUUGUUGAGCGUAUUAUCAGCUGGUGGAGUGGACACAGAUUGGAAGUUCUGUCCAUUAGAAAAUGUCUGAUAGAAAUAAUUGCUUAAACUGAUUUAUGGAACUAAUGAUUUUUUUGGAACUAAUGAUUUUAAAAUGUUAAAUAUAUUUAUAAGAAGCCCAAUUUCUAAUUUUUCCAAAUUUUUUUUUUUUAGCAAAACUUUGCAUUUGUAUGUACAGUCUUGUGAUAUGCCAAGGAGCCUGACGGCCGGUGCUUUCCCAGCCUGCCUCUUGUGGAGUUUACGUACACAGACUGAGAGACUCCAUUGUAACUAGGUGAUACAAUCUUUCUGCACAGCAUCGAGUAUGCUCCUUCCUCUUCUUUGGCCAGAAAAUUAGUGUAGUAUUUAUUUAUUGAUUACCUCCAUUGUCCCCCGUUUAUGUCCCAACUGUAAGAAAGCUUUGAGGAUCUAAAAUUAAAACCAAAGUUGGGCCGUGACCCAUUACUCAUUUAUCAAAGCAGGAACACACUGUUAUAUCUUUGAAAUUGUAUGUUAGACUUUAAAGGUUAAAAUGCCAAGUAUUCUUAAAUCAUUAGCCUCGAUGACUGUUAGAGUGGAACGUAGCUUGCUUGUUCAUGGGAGAAGAAUGCUAUCUUUUCCUAAGCACUUGCAGGGUCCUUCUGUUUCUAAGUUAUCUGGAAGGUGAGACUUAAUUUUAUCAUCUCCCUACUCAGCAUUCCCUUUCUGUUGCAUAUAAAAGGCCGACCUCCCUCUCUCCAUCUGUCAAGGGCGGGCUGCCUGGAGACAGUAUAGACUCAUUUUUGUUGGGAGUGGGGGUAGAGGUCUGGAGGGAAGAGGGGCUAGGAGUUGAAAGAUGGAAGCUCUUCCUCUUAAUUACAGCUUGCUUACCUAUUGUCUUGUAAGAGCUCACAGCCUAAAUGCUAAGUGUACACGUUCUUUUAAUGGGUUUUGAAUAAUUGUAAUUUAUUUAUUAUUUAUUUAUUGUGAUGCGGAGCCUAAGUAGAUCUGACUGGCCUUCAGCUCCUGUCUGUUGCUUCAGACCUGUGUUAGGAUGCAGCGGUGUGCUACCAUGUGUGUCAAAAAGUUUGAUUUUGAAGACCCAAGCUGGCAUGGAACUCACCAUGUAGCCCAGGCUAGCCUCAAACAAACUCACAAAGCUCUUUUAGGUGUUUUUGAAGCAGGCUUGGUUGUGGCCCAGCAGGGAGUUGGAACUUGAGGUCCUCCUGCUUCAGCUUCUUACACAGAGGGAUCCCAGAGUGUGCCACCACCGCCAGCGUCACCGCCAGCGUCACUCACUGCCGACAGGUGCUUCUGUUUUAAAUUGACAAAGGGGUUUUAGCAAUUUGUUUGCAGUAAGAUCUCUUUCAGGAGGGAAAAUAUUUUAACCAUAUUGGCCUUUCUUGUUCUUUUCUUUCUUGUUUUAGAUAAAGUUUUACUAAGUAGACCUGGCAGGCCUGGAGCUCACAGAGACAUGCCAGCCUCAGCCUCCCAAGUGCUGGGGUUCAAGGGCGGGCACACCACCAUGUGGGCUCUCUUCCAUGGGCUUAUAUUGUACAUCUGAGAAGUUUUGCCUAUGAAGUUAUUACUGAGUUCGAAUAUAUGGAAGUGUCUGAUUGUUGCUAAUGCUUAAUGAUUUAAGGUUUAUUUACAAGAAAAUGAUCAUCAAAUCCAGUCUUGUGAUGAACAUGGCCUCCCAACAGAGUAACUUUAAAAAAAAAGUCCCUUCUCAGGGUAUCUAGCACAGAGUGGAUGUUUAAAAUCACUCAUGGGUGAGGAUAUGGCAUAGAGGUAGGGAGCUCUCCCAACAGUCCGAAGCCCCAGCCAGCCAGACUCACUUCAAGGAGUAAAAAUGAACAACAACAAAAAGGGCAUAUAGAAACUUUAACUGGAUUUGAUUAAGGGGAUAUUUUGAACAUUUGAGCUAUUUGUUUUUCAGUUUUUGGAGUCAUUGGUCUUAACAUUUUAGAUCUUGAUACAGAUUAAAACUGCUGUGAGUGACAGUGUCAGUCUCCUGUCAGGUCCUCUCAGGACCAUGCUGUGACAGUAUCAGAUUCCCCUCCCCACAAAACAAAACAUGAAAACAGUGCCACCAAGAAGUGCACCCUUGUCCCAGGUCCCGGGCCCCAGCCUGCGUGCUUCUGUCAGUGGGACCCAGAUACCUGGAGGUCACAGACUUAGGUCAGUCCUGCUUUCCUUCAUAGACUUUGCCUCGGCCAUUUUAUAAGAAUGAGACAGUAACUCACAGCCGCUGUUGCCUUUCUAGAGAGACGGUGUACUCAGGCUGAGGAUGCUGGGUUCGCUGUAGACUACCCUGAGCGUUGUGUGCCGGGGUCUCACUGACUGCUGUACAGCUCCUUUGACAGCAGCUUCUACGUAGUGGAGCAGUGAGAGUGUCAGAUAACAGAAGGCUGGAGAGGCGCCUCACCGCACCCAGCACCUAUGUAUUUCAAAAGUUCAGACUCUGUUAGCAAAACCUAAUAUUCCAAAUAUACCUAGUGCUCCAGGUGUGAGCUCCCUCCUUCCAUCCAUCAUUCCCUUCCUCCCUCCUCUCUCUCCCCACCUCUCUCCCUCCUACAGAAGGUGCCAGCUUACUCCAUAGCUGUAUAAAUAAAAUAUAGCUGACUGUGUGAAAGAGUCAUGCUGGGUUCGACCAACAUAGGUAUUUUCCUAGUUUUGAGAAAUCCUGUUCUUUUAAAAUAAUAUAAUUUAUAAUUGAUUUUUUUAAAAAUGUGAUUUAUAUAUUUAAUAUAGACAACCAAAACCUUUUUAAUGAAGAGUGCUUUGUACUUUGGAGAAUACAGUCAUUUUACUGUGGGGAAAUGUGAUAUUCUCAGUAAAUGCAAUAAAAUUUUUAGCAAAUUCCUGUAA